Molecule: ribosomal RNA, 1535 nt
Filed under: Enterobacter asburiae
Lineage: Bacteria; Pseudomonadati; Pseudomonadota; Gammaproteobacteria; Enterobacterales; Enterobacteriaceae
Description: bacterial SSU rRNA
Rfam family: Bacterial small subunit ribosomal RNA
Source: RNAcentral
GAGCAUGCCGGGCGGCCUACCAUGCAAGUCGAGCGGCAACGGGAAGUACCUUGCUACUUUGCCGGCGAGCGGCGGACGGGUGAGUAAUGUCUGGGAAACUGCCUGAUGGAGGGGGAUAACUACUGGAAACGGUAUCUAAUACCGCAUAAUGUCGCAAGACCAAAGAGGGGGACCUUCGGGCCUCUUGCCAUCAGAGUGUGCCCAGAUUGGAUUAGGCUAGGUAAGUUGGGUUAACGGCUCACCUAGGCGACGAUCCCUAGGCUGGUCUGAGAGGCAUGACCAGCCACACCUGGAACUGAGACACGGUCCAGACUCCUACGGGAGGCAGCAGUGGGGAAUAUUGCACAAUGGGCGCAAGCCUGAUGCAGCCAUGCCGCGUGUAUGAAGAAGGCCUUCGGGUUGUAAAGUACUUUCAGCGGGGAGGAAGGUGUUGAGGUUAAUAACCUCAGCAAUUGACGUUACCCGCAGAAGAAGCACCGGCUAACUCCGUGCCAGCAGCCGCGGUAAUACGGAGGGUGCAAGCGUUAAUCGGAAUUACUGGGCGUAAAGCGCACGCAGGCGGUCUGUCAAGUCGGAUGUGAAAUCCCCCGGGCUCAACCUGGGAACUGCAUUCGAAACUGGCAGGCUAGAGUCUUGUAGAGGGGGGUAGAAUUCCGGGUGUAGCGGUGAAAUGCGUAGAGAUCUGGAGGAAUACCGGUGGCGAGGGCGGCCCCCUGGACAAAGACUGACGCUCAGGUGCGAAAGCGUGGGGAGCAAAGGGGGAUUAUAUACCCUGGUAGUCCACGCCGUAAACGAUGUCGACUUGGAGGUUGUGCCCUUGAGGCGUGGCCUUCCGGAGCUAACGCGUUAAGUCGACCGCCUGGGGGAGUACGGCGCGGGGGGUUAGAACAUCAUAUUAUAUUUACAGGGGGGCCGCACCCGCGGGUGGAGCGUGUGGUUUUUUUUUAUUUCAACGCGAGGAACCAUUACCCUACUUCUUGACCUCCAGAAGGACUUACCAGAGAUGGUACAUUGGGUUUUUUCCGGGAGCUCUGAAAGACCAAGGUGCUGCAGGGGGGUUUGAUCGCUCACCCCCGCUCGUCCAGUUGUGAAAUGAUAUGGGUUAAGUCACCGCAGACGAGACUUCUAACACACUUUUCCUUUGUUGCUCCGCCCGGGUUCGGCCGCGAGAAACUCUAUGAUAGACCCGCCGGUGACUUAAGACUGGAGUAUAGGUGGUGAUGACGUUAAGUCAUCAUGGCCCUUGCGGUGUGGGGCUCUUCACACGUGCUACAAUGGCGCAUACAAAUCGAAGCGUGGUCGCUGGGAGCAGGUCGGACACUCAUCAACUAGUAUCGAAUAUACGUAGUCCGGAUUGGAGUCUGCAACAUGCGACGUCCAUGAAGUCGGAAUCGCUAGUAAUCGUAGAUCAGAAUGUUACGGUGAAUACGUUCCCGGGCCUUGUACACACCGCCCGUCACACCAUGGGAGUGGGUUGCAAAAGAAGUAGGUAGCUUAACCUUCGGGAGGGCGCUUACCACUUUUGAUUCAAUGGA